RNAcentral lists this ribosomal RNA (253 nucleotides) under uncultured bacterium. RNAcentral describes it as "partial 16S ribosomal RNA". It matches the Rfam family "Bacterial small subunit ribosomal RNA", at positions 524 to 776 of the family's 1533-position model. The record is from RNAcentral.
UACGUAGGGGGCAAGCGUUGUCCGGAAUCAUUGGGCGUAAAGAGCGUGUAGGCGGCCCGGUAAGUCCGCUGUGAAAGUCCAGGGCUCAACCCUGGGAUGCCGGUGGGUACUGUCGGGCUCGAGUCCGGAAGAGGAGUGUGGAAUUCCUGGUGUAGCGGUGAAAUGCGCAGAUAUCAGGAGGAACACCAAUGGCGAAGGCAGCACUCUGGGACGUUACUGACGCUGAGACGCGAAAGCGUGGGGAGCAAACAGG